Molecule: ribosomal RNA, 442 nt
Filed under: uncultured bacterium
Lineage: Bacteria
Description: partial 16S ribosomal RNA
Rfam family: Bacterial small subunit ribosomal RNA
Source: RNAcentral
CCUACGGGGGGCAGCAGUAGGGAAUCUUUCACAAUGGGCGAAAGCCUGAUGGAGCAACGCCGCGUGCAGGAUGAAGGCCUUCGGGUUGUAAACUGCUUUUAUAAGCGAGAAAUAUGAUGGUAACUUAUGAAUAAGGAUCGGCUAACUACGUGCCAGCAGCCGCGGUCAUACGUAGGAUCCGAGCAUUAUCCGGAGUGACUGGGUGUAAAGAGUUGCGUAGGUGGCAUAAUAAGUAGCUAGUGAAAUCUGGUGGCUCAACCAUUCAGACUAUUAGCUAAACUGUUAAGCUCGAGACCGUUAGGGGUAACUGGAAUGUGUAGUGUAGGAGUGAAAUCCGUAGAUAUUAGAAGGAACACCAAUAGCGUAGGCAGGUUGCUGGGACGGUUCUGACACUAAGGCACGAAAGCGUAGGGAGCAAACGGGAUUAGAUACCCGUGUAGUC